GUAGGGAAUAUUGGGCAAUGGAGGCAACUCUGACCCAGCCAUGCCGCGUGCAGGAUGACGGCCCUCUGGGUUGUAAACUGCUUUUAUACGGGAAGAAAAAAUACUACGUGUAGUAUACUGACGGUACCGUAAGAAUAAGGAUCGGCUAACUCCGUGCCAGCAGUCGCGGUAAUACGGAGGAUCCAAGCGUUGUCCGGAUUUAUUGGGUUUAAAGGGUGCGUAGGCGGAUCUUUAAGUCAGUGGUGAAAGCCUGCAGCUUAACUGUAGAAUUGCCAUUGAAACUGAAGAUCUUGAAUGUGGUUAAAGUAGGCGGAAUGUAUCAUGUAGCGGUGAAAUGCUUAGAUAUGAUACAGAACACCGAUAGCGAAGGCAGCUUGCUGAACCAUUAUUGACGCUGAGGCACGAAAGCGUGGGGAGCGAACAGGAUUAGAAACCCGGGUAGUCC
This 445-nucleotide ribosomal RNA is filed under the name uncultured bacterium. Its description in RNAcentral is "partial 16S ribosomal RNA". It matches the Rfam family "Bacterial small subunit ribosomal RNA", at positions 354 to 796 of the family's 1533-position model. The record is from RNAcentral.